UACAUCUCAAGCAAUUCUACAUUUUCCGGAAAUUUUCCAGUGGGAGGAAUCUGUACCAAUAACCAGAAGUACCAGAAUUUCCGUUUAAAUGGUAAACAACCGAUAGGACAAAUAAAACACCGCUUAGAAUCGCAGCUUGUGAGACAUACACCAAGUAGGCUCUCUUUGAAAUAAUAUAUCACGUUAAGUGUAGUGGACGGUAUGACAAAUAUGGUAUGACAUAUAGAACAACUUUGACAAGCCGUAUGUGACACUCAGCUUUACCGCUAAUUUAUAUUCUAAAACCGCACUAAGAGCAGUGCAACGCAUGAGCCAUAAAACCCAACAACACAUCUAGACCCCGCCCACCCAAUGACUCAUAACAAAGCUCCGCCUGGCGCUUUAAGAUGAGAAAGACAGGCCUUACUCCAAUAAAGCACGACGAAAAAUCCCUUCGCCAGAUGCUUUAAGAAAAGCAAGACAGGCCUUAUUCCAAUAAAAAAGGACGAAUAAUUUCUUAGCCAGAUGCUUUAAGAGCUAACCGAGCUUGCCUGAAACAUUUGAGCUGCGGAUGGAGAAAAGGAAUCCAAAGAAGGCGGCUGGUAGCGUGGCACGAACCGACUGGAAUUUUAAAAUUCUUAAUAAAAACGCCGUAAUAAAAAAAUUUAAGGAAGGAUGUAAACAAAUAAGCAACAUCCGCACAUCAGCAGCAUUUGAGCUGCGGAUUGAGAAAAUAAAUCCAAAGCAGGCGGCUCGUAGCGUAGCACGUACCGCCUGGGAUUUUAAAAUUCUUAAUAAAAACGCCGUAAUAAAAAAGGUCAAGUAAGGAUGUAAACAAAUAAGCAAUAAGCUAUAAUGCAUUAUUGAUGAAAAAAAAUAAAGAAAAUUGUAUCGAAGAUGUAUGGCUAGGGUAA
Molecule: long non-coding RNA, 893 nt
Organism: Nematostella vectensis (starlet sea anemone)
Lineage: Eukaryota; Metazoa; Cnidaria; Anthozoa; Actiniaria; Edwardsiidae
Exons: 2
Source: RefSeq, a predicted model, not a curated record